UGUCCUCCAUAGGAGGUCUAUAUUGAGCAGAUUCUUUUUGGUAUUGGGUAGUGGAACCGGAGCGUGCUCCAUCCACUCCAUGCAUUGACCUGGUAUUGCAGUGCUUCCAGGACCGGUUC
RNAcentral lists this small nuclear RNA (119 nucleotides) under Crocodylus porosus (Australian saltwater crocodile). Its description in RNAcentral is "U2 spliceosomal RNA (ENSCPRG00005003529.1)". The record is from RNAcentral. Lineage: Eukaryota; Metazoa; Chordata; Crocodylia; Crocodylidae.